UACGGAGGGUGCAAGCAUUAAUCGGAUUUAUUGGGUGUAAAGAGCGCGUAGGCGGAUUGGCAAGUCAGAUGUGAAAUUUCGAAGCUCAACUUCGAAGCUGCAUUUGAAACUACUAAUCUUGAGGGUAGACGGAGAAAACGGAAUUCCACGUGUAGCGGUGAAAUGCGUAGAUAUGUGGAAGAACACCGGUGGCGAAGGCGGUUUUCUAGUUUAUUCCUGACGCUGAGGCGCGAGAGCAAGGGUAGCAAACAGG
This 253-nucleotide ribosomal RNA is filed under the name uncultured bacterium. RNAcentral's name for it is "partial 16S ribosomal RNA". It matches the Rfam family "Bacterial small subunit ribosomal RNA", at positions 524 to 776 of the family's 1533-position model. The record is from RNAcentral.